Molecule: ribosomal RNA, 460 nt
Filed under: uncultured bacterium
Lineage: Bacteria
Description: partial 16S ribosomal RNA
Rfam family: Bacterial small subunit ribosomal RNA
Source: RNAcentral
CCUACGUGAGGCAGCAGUGAGGAAUAUUGGUCAAUGGCCGGAAGGCUGAACCAGCCAUGCCGCGUGAAGGUCAGUGCCCUAUGGGCGUUAAACUUCUUUUGUGCGGGAGCAAUAAUGGUCACGUGUGGCCAGACGAGAGUAGCGUCCGAAUAAGCAUCGGCUAACUCCGUGCCAGCAGCCGCGGUAAUACGGGGGAGGCAAGCGUUGUCCGGCAUUAUGGGGUUUAAAGGGGGCGUAGGCUGUGAGGUAAGUCAGCGGGGAAAUGCCCCCGCUCAACGGGGUGAAGUGCCAUUGAUACUGCCUUGCUGGAGUGCGGAUGCCGUGGGAGGAAUGUGUGGUGUAGCGGUGAAAUGCAUAGAUAUCACACAGAACACCGAUUGCGAAGGCAUCUCACGAAUCCGCGAUUGACGCUGAUGCACGAAAGCGUGGGUAUCAAACAGGAUUAGAUACCCCUGUAGUC